Molecule: ribosomal RNA, 450 nt
Filed under: uncultured bacterium
Lineage: Bacteria
Description: partial 16S ribosomal RNA
Rfam family: Bacterial small subunit ribosomal RNA
Source: RNAcentral
GUGGGGAAUAUUGGACAAUGGGCGCAAGCCUGAUCCAGCCAUACCGCGUGGGUGAAGAAGGCCUUCGGGUUGUAAAGCCCUUUUGUUGGGAAAGAAAUCCUGUCGGUUAAUACCUGGCGGGGAUGACGGUACCCAAAGAAUAAGCACCGGCUAACUUCGUGCCAGCAGCCGCGGUAAUACGAAGGGUGCAAGCGUUACUCGGAAUUACUGGGCGUAAAGCGUGCGUAGGUGGUGGUUUAAGUCCGUUGUGAAAGCCCUGGGCUCAACCUGGGAAUUGCAGUGGAUACUGGAUCACUAGAGUGUGGUAGAGGGAUGCGGAAUUUCUGGUGUAGCAGCGAAAUGCGUAGAGAUCAGAAGGAACAUCCGUGGCGAAGGCGGCAUCCUGGGCCAACACUGACACUGAGGCACGAAAGCGUGGGGAGCAAACAGGAUUAGAAACCCUAGUAGUCC